Molecule: ribosomal RNA, 256 nt
Filed under: uncultured archaeon
Lineage: Archaea
Description: partial 16S ribosomal RNA
Rfam family: Bacterial small subunit ribosomal RNA
Source: RNAcentral
UAAUACGUAGGGUGCAAGCGUUAAUCGGAAUUACUGGGCGUAAAGCGUGCGCAGGCGGUUUUGUAAGACUGUCGUGAAAUCCCCGGGCUUAACCUGGGAAUUGCGAUGGUGACUGCAAGGCUAGAGUUUGGCAGAGGGGGGUAGAAUUCCACGUGUAGCAGUGAAAUGCGUAGAGAUGUGGAGGAACACCGAUGGCGAAGGCAGCCCCCUGGGUCAAAACUGACGCUCAUGCACGAAAGCGUGGGGAGCAAACAGG